UCUGGUGGCUUAACGAUGGGGAUACACCCGAUCUCAUUCCGAACUCGGAAGUUAAGCUCAUUAGUGCCGAUGGUAGUCCGUAAGGGCAAGAGUAGGUAGCCGCCAGAA
RNAcentral lists this ribosomal RNA (108 nucleotides) under Candidatus Campbelliibacteriota bacterium. Lineage: Bacteria; Candidatus Campbelliibacteriota. The record is from RNAcentral.